RNAcentral lists this transfer RNA (65 nucleotides) under Mylabris calida. RNAcentral's name for it is "tRNA-His". RNAcentral also lists the same sequence under 1 other name. Lineage: Eukaryota; Metazoa; Arthropoda; Insecta; Coleoptera; Meloidae. The record is from RNAcentral.
AUAUAAAUAGUUUAAUUAAAACGUUGAUUUGUGGAGUCAAAAAUAUAUAAAUAGUAUUUUAUAUA